AAAAAAGGUAAGCUACUAAGAGCGAAUGGUGGAUGCCUUGACUGGUAAAGGCGAUGAAGGACGUACUAGACUGCGAUAAGCUACGGGGAGCUGUCAAGAAGCUUUGAUCCGUAGAUUUCCGAAUGGGGCAACCCAAUGUAUAGAGAUAUACAUUACCUAUAUAGGAGCGAACGAGGGGAAUUGAAACAUCUUAGUACCCUCAGGAAAAGAAAUCAAUAGAGAUUGCGUCAGUAGCGGCGAGCGAAAGCGCAAGAGGGCAAACCCAGUGCUUGCACUGGGGGUUGUAGGACUGCAAUGUGCAAGAGGUAAGUUUAGCAGAACAUUCUGGAAAGUAUAGCCAUAGAGGGUGAUAGUCCCGUAUGCGAAAAACAAACCUUAGCUAGCAGUAUCCUGAGUAGGGCGGGACACGAGAAAUCCUGUCUGAAGCUGGGUCGACCACGAUCCAACCCUAAAUACUAAUACCAGAUCGAUAGUGCACAAGUACCGUGAGGGAAAGGUGAAAAGAACUGAGGUGAUCAGAGUGAAAUAGAACCUGAAACCAUUUGCUUACAAUCAUUCAGAGCCCUAUGUAGCAAUACAGGGUGAUGGACUGCCUUUUGCAUAAUGAGCCUGCGAGUUGUGGUGUCUGGCAAGGUUAAGCAAACGCGAAGCCGUAGCGAAAGCGAGUCUGAAUAGGGCGCUUAGUCAGAUGCUGCAGACCCGAAACGAAGUGAUCUAUCCAUGAGCAAGUUGAAGCUAGUGUAAGAACUAGUGGAGGACUGAACCCAUAGGCGUUGAAAAGCCCCGGGAUGACUUGUGGAUAGGGGUGAAAGGCCAAUCAAACUUCGUGAUAGCUGGUUCUCUCCGAAAUAUAUUUAGGUAUAGCGUUGUGUCGUAAUAUAAGGGGGUAGAGCACUGAAUGGGCUAGGGCAUACACCAAUGUACCAAACCCUAUCAAACUCCGAAUACCUUAUAUGUAAUCACAGCAGUCAGGCGGCGAGUGAUAAAAUCCGUCGUCAAGAGGGAAACAACCCAGACUACCAGCUAAGGUCCCUAAAUCUUACUUAAGUGGAAAACGAUGUGAAGUUACUUAAACAACCAGGAGGUUGGCUUAGAAGCAGCCAUCCUUUAAAGAAAGCGUAAUAGCUCACUGGUCUAGUGAUUUUGCGCGGAAAAUAUAACGGGGCUAAAGUAAGUACCGAAGCUGUAGACUUGCGCACAACUUAGAUUAUUUAAGUUUAGAAUAUGAGAAACUAAGUUAUAUGUUUAGUUAUAUUUUUACUGAUUUUUAUAGAGUAAAGAUAGAAAUAAAACUUAGUAAAAUCAGUAAAAAUAUUCUUAGACUAAAGUUAAGUAGUUUAAGUUGUGUGCAAGUGGUAGGAGAGCGUUCUAUUUGCGUCGAAGGUAUACCGGUAAGGAGUGCUGGAGCGAAUAGAAGUGAGCAUGCAGGCAUGAGUAGCGAUAAUUAAUGUGAGAAUCAUUAACGCCGUAAACCCAAGGUUUCCUACGCGAUGCUCGUCAUCGUAGGGUUAGUCGGGUCCUAAGUCGAGUCCGAAAGGGGUAGACGAUGGCAAAUUGGUUAAUAUUCCAAUACCAACAUUAGUGUGCGAUGGAAGGACGCUUAGGGCUAAGGGGGCUAGCGGAUGGAAGUGCUAGUCUAAGGUCGUAGGAGGUUAUACAGGCAAAUCCGUAUAACAAUACUCCGAGAACUGAAAGGCUUUUUGAAGUCUUCGGAUGGAUAGAAGAACCCCUGAUGCCAUCGAGCCAAGAAAAGUUUCUAAGUUUAGCUAAUGUUGCCCGUACCGUAAACCGACACAGGUGGGUGGGAUGAGUAUUCUAAGGCGCGUGGAAGAACUCUCUUUAAGGAACUCUGCAAAAUAGCACCGUAUCUUCGGUAUAAGGUGUGGUUCGCUUCGUAUUAGGAUUUACUCCGAAAGCGAAGAAACUUACAACAAAGAGUCCCUCCCGACUGUUUACCAAAAACACAGCACUCUGCUAACUCGUAAGAGGAUGUAUAGGGUGUGACGCCUGCCCGGUGCUCGAAGGUUAAUUGAUGGGGUUAGCAUUAGCGAAGCUCUUGAUCGAAGCCCGAGUAAACGGCGGCCGUAACUAUAACGGUCCUAAGGUAGCGAAAUUCCUUGUCGGUUAAAUACCGACCUGCAUGAAUGGCGUAACGAGAUGGGAGCUGUCUCAAAGAGGGAUCCAGUGAAAUUGUAGUGGAGGU
This 2203-nucleotide ribosomal RNA is filed under the name Campylobacter coli. RNAcentral describes it as "partial 23S ribosomal RNA". It matches the Rfam family "Bacterial large subunit ribosomal RNA", at positions 1 to 2054 of the family's 2925-position model. Lineage: Bacteria; Pseudomonadati; Campylobacterota; Epsilonproteobacteria; Campylobacterales; Campylobacteraceae. The record is from RNAcentral.